UGUAAAGUGGUUGUUCCACUGGAUAUCAUAAGGUGAAUGCACCAAUUUGUAAGUCGCUCUGGAUAAGAGCGUCUGCUAAAUGACGUAAAUGUAAUUAGGAAAUGUCUUAGUUCCUCACAUGGCAGAAGGUUCAUUGUAGAGACACACAGAUCACACACAUACACAUACAAGCACACACACACACACACACAGCGGAACAUACCUUCGUUGUGAUGUGGUCUUCAUAGCAACGGUCUGUUGUAUCCAGGCACGGUUUCCAUGGCACCACUGUUUUCCUGGUUAACCUUCCAGAUGGCCUAGGACUCUGAGGGAGCCAGCCUGAAGAUUCCCAAACACCGCUCUCAUCUAGUCUCACAGAGAAGAGAGAUCUCCACACCUCUGUGCACCUUGGAGCAGGAGACAUACACAAGUAACCUUUAACAAAACGUUUAGUGAUGCGUAUCAAAACAAAGUUACGUCAGAUAUCUCCUCAGCCUUUAAUAAGGACUGUGUUACCAACACACUGUUUGUUGUUACGUCAAUCAAUCAAAUGUUUUUAUGAAGCCCUUCUUACAUCAGCUGAUUUCACAAAGUGCUGUACAGAAACCCAGCCUAAAACCCCCAAACAGCAAGCAAUGCAGAUGUAGAAGCAGGGUGGCUAGGAAAAACUCCCUGGAAAGGAAGGAACCUAGGAAGAAAGCUUGAGAGGAACCAGGCUCUGAGGGGUGGCAAGUUCUCUUCUGGCUGUACUGGGUGGACAUGGCCAUUAAGGCCAGAUUGUUCUUCAAGAUGUUCAAACGUUCAUAGAUGACCAGCAGGGUCAGAUAAUCAUCAUAGUGGUUGUAGAGGGUGCAACAGUUCAGCACCUCAGGAAUAAAUGUCAGUUGGCUUUUCAUAGCUGAUCAUUCAGAGGUCGAGACAGCAGGUGCAGUAGAGAGGGAGAGGGAGAGAGGGAGAGAGAGAGAGAGUGUGAGAGAGAGAGAGAGAGAGAGAGAGAGAGAGAGAGAGAGUGAGAAAGAAAGAGAGGGAGAGAGAGAGAGAGAGAGAUGGUCGAAAACAGCAGGUCCGGGACAAGGUAGCAGGUCCAGUGAACAGGUCAGGGUUCCAUAGCCGCAGGCAGAACAGUUGAAACUGGAGCAGCAGCACGACCAGGUGGACUGGGGAUGGGAACAGCCAGGAGUCAUCAGGCCCGGUAGUCCUGAGGCAUGGUCAAAGGGGUGAGAGAGAGAAAGAGAGAGAGAGAAGAGAGAAUUAGAGUGAGCAUACUUAAGUUCACACAGGACACACAGGACACCACACAGGACACACAGGACACCAGAUAAGACAGAGAAUUACACCAGAUAACAGACUGACCCUAGUACCCCGGCACACAGACUACUGCAGCACAGAUACUGGAGACUGAGACAGGGGGAGGGGGUGUUCGACAAUACCCCCAGACAGGGUCAACCAGGCAGGAUAUAACCCCAAUCAGUUUGCCAAAGCAGAGCCAUCACACCACUAGAGGGAUCACGGAUGUGAUCCAAGCUGUAUCACAUCCGGAUGUGAUUGGGAGUCCCAUAGGGCGGCGCACAAUUGGCCCAGUGUCGUCUGGCUUUGGCCUGGGUAGGCCAUCAUUGUAAAUAAGAAUUUGUUCUUAACUGACUAAUCUAGAAGUGACAAAAGCGUGGAAUAGUUUUUCUACCUAAUUCUGGGGCAAAGAAAUUCAGAUUUUUUUCAAUGUUAUGAAAAUGGAAAAUAGCUUCCCUUGAAAUAUUGUAUUCUUGAUACGUAUGUUCGUCAAAAGAUAGAGCAGGGUCCAGAGUAAAGCCUAGGUCAGACAGCAGAUCUCUGUUUCUUGGGACCUAGAACUAGCAUCUCUGUUUUGUCCGAGUUUAAAGGUAAAACAUUUGCCGCUAUCCACUUCCUUAUGUUUGAAACGCAGGCUUCCAGGGAGGGAAAUUUUGGUGCUUCACCAUGUAAAUGUUCAGUUGUGAGUGGUCCGCAUAGCAGUGAAAACUGAUAUUGUGUUUUAUGAAUGACAUCACCAAGAGAAAAACAAGAGAGUGGUCGUAAAACAUUACCUUGAGGAACCAACUGUUCACAGAGACAAACUAAUAUAUUUCCAACAGAUAAGAUCAAAUCCAGGCAAAAUAAAACUUAUCCAUGUAGACCAAUCAGGGUUUCUAAUCUCUCCAACUACUUACACAUUCAUCUUCUGCACAUCUACCAUUCCAGUGUUUAAUUGGGUUUCUAAUCUCUCCAACUACUUGUCUCCAGUUCUCUGCUGCCAAUGACUGGAACGAACUGCAAAAAAUCACUGAAGCUGGAGACUCACAUCUCCUUCACUAGCUUUAAGCACCAGCUGUCAGAGCAGCUUACAGAUCACUGCACCUGUACAUAGCCCAUCUGUAAACAGCCCAUCCAACUACCUCAUCCCCAUACUGUAUUUAUUUAUUUUGCUCCUUUGCACCCCAAUAUUUCUACUUGCACAUUCAUCUUCUGCACAUCUACCAUUCCAGUGUUUAAUUGCUAUAUUGUAAUUACUUCGCCACCAUGGCCUAUUUAUUGCCUUAACUCCCUUAUCUUACCUAAUUUGCACUCACUGUAUAUAGACUUUUUGUUUUCUUUUGAUCUACUGUAUUAUUGACUGUAUGUUUUGUUUAUUCCAUGUGUAACUCUGUUGUUGUUGUAUGUGUCGAAUUACUAUGCUUUAUCUUGGCCAGGUCGCAGUUGCAAAUAAGAACUUGUUCUCAACUAGCCUAACUGGUUAAAUAAAGGUGAAAUAAAUAAAUAGAUACAAAUAAAAAAGAAUAUGGUGAUCGAUGGUGUCAAAAGCAGCACGAAGAUCUACUAGCACGAGGACAGAUGCAGAGCCUUGGUCUGACGCCAUUAAAAGAGGACCACCAGCGGAGGAACAAUGACAGGGACAUUGAGUUGGACAAGCACUACCAGAGUAUUACAUCAUGACAACAACCCAACCGCAGGACAUGAAGAGAUGUGAGAAGUCGUUCAGCUGCGUUGACAGGACAGUCACCACCAGGGGAAUUAUGAAAGAACAGGAUGGGACGAGAGAUGAUGGUUAGUGGUCCUGUCUGGCUCAGUGUCAGUGGUUAGUGGUCCUGUCUGGCUCAGUGUCAGUAAUUAGUGGUCCUGUCUGGCUCAGUGUCAGUGGUUAGUGGUCCUGUCUGGCUCAGUGUCAGUGGUCCUGUCUGGCUCAUUAUAAGUGGUUAGUGGUCCUGUCUGGCUCAGUAUAUGUGGUUAGUGGUCCUGUCUGGCUCAGUGUCAGUGGUCCUGUCUGGCUCAUUAUAAGUGGUUAGUGGUCCUGUCUGGCUCAGUGUCAGUGGUUAGUGGUCCUGUCUGGCUCAGUGUCAGUGGUUACUGGUCCUGUCUGGCUCAGUGUCAGUGGUUAGUGGUCCUGUCUGGCUCAGUGUCAGUAAUUAGUGGUCCUGUCUGGCUCAGUGUCAGUAAUUAGUGGUCCUGUCUGGCUCAGUGUAAGUGGUUAAUGGUCCUGUCUGGCUCAAUGUAAGUGGUUUGUGGUCCUGUCUUGCUCAAUGUCAGUGGUUAAUGGUCCUGUCUGGCUCAGGGUUAGUGGUUAAUGGUCCUGUCUGGCUCAGUGUAAGUGGUUAAUGGUCCUGUCUGGCCCAGUGUAAGUGGUUAGUGGUCCUGUCUUGCUCAAUAUCAGUAGUUAAUUGUCCUGUCUGGCUCAGUGUUUGUGGUAUUGGUCCCGUCUGGCUCAGUGUCAGUGGCCCUGUCUGGCUCAUUAUAAGUUGUUAGUGGUCCUGUCUUACUCAGUGUCAGUGGUUAGUGGUCCUGUCUGGCUCAGUGUCAGUGGCCCUGUCUGGCUCAUUAUAAGUUGUUAGUGGUCCUGUCUGGCUCAGUGUCAGUGGUUAGUGGUCCUGUCUGGCUCAUUAUAAGUUAGUGGUCCUGUCUUGCCCAGUGUCAGUGGUUAGUGGUCCUGUCUGGCUCAGUAUCAGUGGUCCUGUCUGGCUCAUUAUAAGUUAGUGGUCCUGUCUUGCCCAGUGUCAGUGGUUAGUGGUUCUGUCUGGCUCAUUAUAAGUGGUUAGUGGUCCUGUCUGGCUCAGUAUAUGUGGUUUCUGGUCCUGUCUGUCCCAGUGUCAAUGGUUACUGGUCCUGUCUGGCUCAGUGUAAGUGGUUAAUGGUCCUGUCUGGCUUAAUGUAAGUGGUUAGUGGUCCUGUGUUGCUCAAUGUCAGUGGUGAAUAGUCCUGUCUGGCUCAGGGUUAGUGGUUAAUGGUCCUGUCUGGCUCAGUGUAAGUGGUUAAUGGUCCUGUCUGGCCCAGUGUAAGUGGUUAGGGGUCCUGUCUUGCUCAAUAUCAGUAGUUAAUUGUCCUGUCUGGCUGUGUUUGUGGUAUUGGUCCUGUCUGGCUCAGUGUCAGUGGCCCUGUCUGGCUCAUUAUAAGUUGUUAGUGGUCCUGUCUUACUCAGUGUCAGUUGUUAGUGAUCCUGUCUUGCUCAGUGUCAGUGGUUAAUUAUCAUGUCUGACUAACUGUCAAUUGUUAGUGGUCCUGUCUUGCCCAGUGUCAGUGGUUAGUGGUCCUGUCUGGCUCAGUAUCAGUGGUCCUGUCUGGCUCAUUAUAAGUUAGUGGUCCUGUCUUGCCCAGUGUCAGUGGUUAGUGGUUCUGUCUGGCUCAUUAUAAGUGGUUAGUGGUCCUGUCUGGCUCAGUAUACGUGGUUACUGGUCCUGUCUGUCCCAGUGUCAAUUUUUAGUGGUCCUGUCUGGCUCAGUAUCAGUGGUCCUGUCUGGCUCAUUAUAAGUGGUUAGUGGUACUGUCUGGCUCAGUGCAGACUCAGUGCUGCCACUGUGUGGUUUGUGUGUGUUACUGCACCACCAGGUGUUCACCAGACGUAUAGUAACAUGAUGGAUGAGUACAGCUUUCUCCUGGUUAAACUUCCUGUCUUCCCAGUCCCUGAGUUUCAAAACCAGACUGGUGUGUGUGUGUGUGUGUUAAUCACACUUGUCUUUCAGGAAAUGUGCCUUUUGUUGUUGUUUUUAAUGAUGUUGUGAGUGAGGCCUGGAUUAAAUCUGAUCACAGGUGUGUAGACGUUGUGGCUUUUACAUUUAAUGUUCCCACGUUUGCAGAGAUCACAUUCAUGGUAAACGCUGCGUACUUCAUCUCAAAUCAGACAUUUCCUAUAAAAGCACUGCAGUAAAAAAAACAUUUUUUGAUUUUUUUCACUCUAUGAGGUUGGAAUAAUACUGUGAAAUUGUGAAAAAUUAUGAUAAUGCCCUUUUAGUGUAGGAGCUGUUGGAACCGUCAGCUGGUUUGGCUGGAAGGGUUUUUGGACAGUCUGUUAACAUCACCAAGUGGUUUACGUUGUCUUUCACAACAUUUUCAUUUUUAUUGUGUUCCUAAAUUUAACCUGUAUUAAAUUGCAUUUUCUUGUCACUGGCCUAUACACAAUAGCCCAUAACGUCAAAG
Molecule: long non-coding RNA, 5397 nt
Filed under: Salmo salar (Atlantic salmon)
Lineage: Eukaryota; Metazoa; Chordata; Actinopteri; Salmoniformes; Salmonidae
Description: lncRNA (ENSSSAG00000118898.1)
Rfam family: UnaL2 LINE 3' element (bases 36-89)
Source: RNAcentral